RNAcentral lists this long non-coding RNA (251 nucleotides) under Elaeis guineensis (African oil palm). Its description in RNAcentral is "long non-coding RNA (EGUI_LNC035300)". Lineage: Eukaryota; Viridiplantae; Streptophyta; Magnoliopsida; Arecales; Arecaceae. The record is from RNAcentral.
CCCCUAAUGCAAUUGAAUCACUAUAUCUAGUUGAGAACAAUCAACAUCAGAAAGAUGUUCGCACAACUAUGAUGGUGGAAGACUGCUAGACUUAAUAUGUGCAAGAAGAUUUUAAUUUAGAUCUCAUCUAAUUAAUUAUCUACAUCUCAUGCAAAUAACUAAUCUCAAUGGUAUGGGUAGAGCACAAAUUACCAAGCAUCUAAUUCAAAACUAAUCAACUAAAUUGGCCAGAUAAGUGAAGAUUGGUGGGA